ACCUCCUCACCUCUCUGGUGGAUGUGUCGGCUUAUCAGUGAUGAUAUCCGAUUAAACGCAUUAGGUUCAAUGCAGGCUGGUGGCCUGGGACACUGUGUGCUAGAGACUAGCAGUCUUAACCGACUGGUCUGUCUUCUCACGGUGCGUCCCGGGUCAUUCAAAGCUGGCCUGCAAAGGACCUUAACUGCGCACAGCAGGCAUGACCUGCGCGUUAAACCGCGCAUGACACGCCGCGCUGUGGCAACCUUUCU
This 251-nucleotide unclassified non-coding RNA is filed under the name uncultured Rozellomycota. RNAcentral describes it as "uncultured Cryptomycota sequence contains ITS2". The record is from RNAcentral. Lineage: Eukaryota; Fungi; Rozellomycota.